UAACAUACAGGUGCUGCACGGCUGUCGUCAGCUCGUGUCGUGAGAUGUUGGGUUAAGUCCCGCAACGAGCGCAACCCUCGUGUUUAGUUGCUAACAGGUUAAGCUGAGGACUCUAGACAGACUGCCUGGGUAACCAGGAGGAAGGUGAGGACGACGUCAAGUCAUCAUGGCCCUUACGGCCAGGGCUACAUACGUGCUACAAUGGGAUAUACAAAGAGCAGCGAUACCGCGAGGUGGAGCAAAUCUCAUAAAAUAUCUCCCAGUUCGGAUUACACUCUGCAACUCGUGUGUAUGAAGUUGGAAUCGCUAGUAAUCGUAGAUCAGCAAUGCUACGGUGAAUACGUUCCCGGGUCUUGUACUCNCCGCCC
This 368-nucleotide ribosomal RNA is filed under the name uncultured Campylobacterota bacterium. Its description in RNAcentral is "bacterial SSU rRNA". It matches the Rfam family "Bacterial small subunit ribosomal RNA", at positions 1028 to 1395 of the family's 1533-position model. Lineage: Bacteria; Pseudomonadati; Campylobacterota. The record is from RNAcentral.